UGCAAGUCGAACGGUAAGGCCCUUCSRGGUACACGAGUGGCGAACGGGUGAGUAACACGUGGGUGAUCUGCCCUGCACUUCGGGAUAAGCCCGGGAAACUGGGUCUAAUACCGGAUAGGACUGCGCGGUGCAUGCCGUGUGGUGGAAAGAUUUAUCGGUGCAGGAUGGGCCCGCGGCCUAUCAGCUUGUUGGUGGGGUAAUGGCCUACCAAGGCGACGACGGGUAGCCGGCCUGAGAGGGCGACCGGCCACACUGGGACUGAGACACGGCCCAGACUCCUACGGGAGGCAGCAGUGGGGAAUAUUGCACAAUGGGCGCAAGCCUGAUGCAGCGACGCCGCGUGAGGGAUGACGGCCUUCGGGUUGUAAACCUCUUUCAGCAGGGACGAAGCGCAAGUGACGGUACCUGCAGAAGAAGCACCGGCCAACUACGUGCCAGCAGCCGCGGUAAUACGUAGGGUGCAAGCGUUGUCCGGAAUUACUGGGCGUAAAGAGCUCGUAGGCGGUUUGUCGCGUCGUCUGUGAAAACCAGCAGCUCAACUGUUGGCUUGCAGGCGAUACGGGCAGACUUGAGUAUUUCAGGGGAGACUGGAAUUCCUGGUGUAGCGGUGAAAUGCGCAGAUAUCAGGAGGAACACCGGUGGCGAAGGCGGGUCUCUGGGAAAUAACUNACGCUNAGRMGCGAA
Molecule: ribosomal RNA, 684 nt
Filed under: Rhodococcus sp. UAPS0131
Lineage: Bacteria; Bacillati; Actinomycetota; Actinomycetes; Mycobacteriales; Nocardiaceae
Description: bacterial SSU rRNA
Rfam family: Bacterial small subunit ribosomal RNA
Source: RNAcentral